This 440-nucleotide ribosomal RNA is filed under the name uncultured bacterium. RNAcentral's name for it is "partial 16S ribosomal RNA". It matches the Rfam family "Bacterial small subunit ribosomal RNA", at positions 338 to 795 of the family's 1533-position model. The record is from RNAcentral.
CCUACGGGAGGCAGCAGUGAGGGAUAUUGGUCAAUGGGGGAAACCCUGAACCAGCAACGCCGCGUGAGGGAAGACGGUUUUCGGAUUGUAAACCUCUGUCCUCUGUGAAGAUAAAGAUGGUAGUAGAGGAGGAAGCUCCGGCUAAUUACGGGCCAGCAGCCGCGGUAAUACGUCGGGAGCAAGCGUUGUCCGGAUUUAUUGGGUGUAAAGGGUGCGUAGGCGGCCCUGCAAGUCAGAAGUGAAAUCCAUGGGCUUAACCCGUGAACUGCUUUUGAAACUGUAGGACUUGAGUGAAGUAGAGGCAGGCGGAAUUCCCGGUGUAGCGGUGAAAUGCGUAGAGAUCGGGAGGAACACCAGUGGCGAAGGCGGCCUACUGGGCUGUAACUGACGCUGAAGCACGAAAGCGUGGGUAGCAAACAGGAUUAGAUACCCCAGUAGUC